GGACCCUUAGCUCAGCCAGGUCAGAGCACCCGGCUCAUACCCGGAGGGUCGGAGGUUCGAAGCCUCCAGGGUCCA
This 75-nucleotide transfer RNA is filed under the name Bacteroidales bacterium. RNAcentral describes it as "tRNA-Met". It matches the Rfam family "tRNA". From Rfam's summary of the family: Transfer RNA (tRNA) molecules are approximately 80 nucleotides in length. The record is from RNAcentral. Lineage: Bacteria; Pseudomonadati; Bacteroidota; Bacteroidia; Bacteroidales.